Ictalurus punctatus (channel catfish) is the source of this 580-nucleotide long non-coding RNA. The record is from Ensembl. NCBI's taxonomy places the organism in Eukaryota, Metazoa, Chordata, Actinopteri, Siluriformes, Ictaluridae.
UGUUUCGAUACUUAAUUAGGCUACUUAAACAUUGUUUGAUGCCUAAUUGUGUAGGUUGAAUCCUAUAUGUACACACACACACACACACACACACACACACAGGGGGAAUUUAUCCUAGUAUCCUAACCAGUCCACUGGCAUGUCUUAGGAAGGGUGGUGGGAGGAAACCAGAGAACCCCGAGGAACCCCACAUGGACAUGAGGAGAACAUGCACAGAAAUUCCGCAUCAACAGUAACCUGAGCGCAGGAACACUGGAGCUGCGAACCCUGGUGUGGAGGCUACAACACUACCACUACACAGGAGCUGUACUCUACAUGCGAAUUCACAGUACUAAAGGUGACAGUGUGGCUCUUCUCAUCCUUAUACAGUGAUCUAAGACAUCUGAUCUGGAUAAACUCAGUGAGGGUGGAGUUACAGUUUACAGUAAAUAAAUCAUGCAGAGAUCAGGAUCUAUAUGAGGAAGCAAUCAUAUCAUCUUUAGCUUAGACAAACAAGAGCAGACACACACACACACACACACACACACAGACACACACACACACACACACACACACACACACACACACAAAUGCACCCACA